This 1345-nucleotide long non-coding RNA is filed under the name Chloebia gouldiae (Gouldian finch). RNAcentral's name for it is "Erythrura gouldiae (Gouldian finch) lncRNA (ENSEGOG00005009391.1)". Lineage: Eukaryota; Metazoa; Chordata; Aves; Passeriformes; Passeridae. The record is from RNAcentral.
GACACUGACACAAUGCCAGUGCCCCCAUGAAAAUGCAACCUCUCAGUUGAAUGCUGUGAAAUGUGAUCAAGAACAGAGCAAAGCAGGCCCAAACUUAAUAACAAAGGCAAAGAACUUUAUUAAGCUACUACCACUAUCACUACUAUAUAAGGAAAAAAAGAAAGAAAAGCACACACAAGAUCCAAAAUGAAAACCUUCCAAAACAUUCCUCCUCCCACCACCCAACUCCAACAAACCACAGUGAGACACAUUUGGACCCUUCAAUAUAAUCAAUACUAAGUCCAUCAGGGGAGAGAGGAGUCUCCCUUGCACCACAGACCCCCAGGAAACACAGCAUCCACUCCUUGUGUUUCCAUGUCACACAUGGCACCGCCCGGAGAAAAAAAGUUUGCCAGUGUGACCCUCUCCUUUCCAUGCACAGUGCUCUCACCACCAAUGCAUGGAUGGACAGACUGCUUUUAGGAUUUUUCCUUUCAAGGAUGCUCUGCCAAGAGGGGAAAAAACAACAGUUCAGUUUUUCUCUUUUUUUUUUUGGGAUCACAGUUCCCCCCAUUUUCUUCCUCCCCUGGGGCCGAGGGUCUCAGGAACAGAGAUCUUCUCUUCUUCUUCUCUGAAGACAGGGGGCACCACCACAAACCUCCCCAACUUUUCUCUGUUCACUCCACUCCUGCGUUUUCCUCAGCUGCUGAAGCAGGUCUCUUGGCUCACCAGCAUCCUCCUAAAAUGCAAUCUCUCUCUUGGAGGAGAAAAUCAGUUCAGACUAUGGCUAAAAAGAAAAAGUCCAGCCAGAAGCCACUCCAUCAUCUCCUUCCACCCAGAAUUUCUCCUUCUAACAUCUCAGGUCCUAGGCUGUCUCUCUUCCUCUCUUUCAAGCCGAGGAGGAGUAAAAUUUCACAAAGCUUUCAUUUCUCAAGGAAGGGUUAAAAGUCCCGACUCCCUGGCUGGCUCUCUGCCCGGAUCUCCGGCUCCCACCUGGGAGCUGGGCACCUUGCGGCCUUGCCCCCGCCCCACCCCAACCCUGCUCUCCUCCUUCCCCGCGGUACUGCUGGCAAACCGUCGCUGUCUCUUUCGAGAGAGAGACUCUGGGCGGGGGAUGAAACGGAGACGUCCCAGAUUUUUCCACCCUUCCAUCUGCAGGGGCCAGCCUGGUUCCAGUCCCUCCACCCUUCGGCCUUACCUCAGCCAGGCCGAGGGCCUUCCCCUCCCCCACCCAGCCACUGGCCGGGCAGGGGAGAGUCCUGCACUGCACCCUGAUGGGAACCAGAGAGAGCGAGUUCCCCUGGGAAUUCUGCUUUUAACCCCUCUGUAUUCUCAGAGGCGUGUCCACCCUCCAUUGGUCACCCCA